GGUUGUAUAGUGUAGCGGUUAUCAUUCCAGAUUCUGAUUCUAUUUCGAGUAGAACUUUCUGGCGACCCCGGUUCGAUUCCGGGUACGACCU
This is a non-coding RNA of Lasiosphaeria ovina, 91 nucleotides long. The record is from the annotation of a GenBank genome assembly. Lineage: Eukaryota; Fungi; Ascomycota; Sordariomycetes; Sordariales; Lasiosphaeriaceae.